RNAcentral lists this ribosomal RNA (163 nucleotides) under uncultured bacterium. RNAcentral's name for it is "partial 16S ribosomal RNA". It matches the Rfam family "Bacterial small subunit ribosomal RNA", at positions 355 to 511 of the family's 1533-position model. The record is from RNAcentral.
UAGGGAAUCUUCCACAAUGGGCGCAAGCCUGAUGGAGCAACGCCGCGUGUGUGAUGAAGGCUUUCGGUCGUAAAGCACUGUUGUAUGGGAAGAAAUGCUAGAAUAGGGAAUGAUUCUAGUUCGACGGUACCAUACCAGAAAGGGACGGCUAAAUACGUGCCAG